GUUGACCUCGAAUCAGGUA
Molecule: ribosomal RNA, 19 nt
Filed under: Metarhizium novozealandicum
Lineage: Eukaryota; Fungi; Ascomycota; Sordariomycetes; Hypocreales; Clavicipitaceae
Description: partial 28S ribosomal RNA
Source: RNAcentral